GAUGAAGAACGUAGCGAAAUGCGAUAAGUAAUGUGAAUUGCAGAAUUCAGUGAAUCAUCGAAUCUUUGAACGCACAUUGCGCCCGCCAGUAUUCUGGCGGGCAUGCCUGUUCGAGCGUCAUUUCAACCCUCAGGCCCCCAGUGCCUGGUGUUGGGGAUCGGCCCAGCCUUCCUGUAAGGCCGCCGGCCCCGAAAUCUAGUGGCGGUCUCGCUGUAGUCCUCCUCUGCGUAGUAGCACAACCUCGCAGUUGGAACGCGGCGGUGGCCAUGCCGUUAAACACCCCACUUCUGAAAGUUGACCUCGGAUCAGGUAGGAAUACCCGCUGAACUUAAGCAUAUCAAUAAGCGGA
Molecule: unclassified non-coding RNA, 349 nt
Filed under: soil metagenome
Description: partial contains 5.8S ribosomal RNA, internal transcribed spacer 2, and large subunit ribosomal RNA
Rfam family: 5.8S ribosomal RNA (bases 1-120)
Source: RNAcentral